Molecule: long non-coding RNA, 183 nt
Filed under: Zonotrichia albicollis (white-throated sparrow)
Lineage: Eukaryota; Metazoa; Chordata; Aves; Passeriformes; Passerellidae
Description: lncRNA (ENSZALG00000011116.1)
Source: RNAcentral
AUGGCUGGUGGCUUGGAGUUUGAGCUGGACUGCAUGAUCUUCUUUAUGAUUCAGCCCAACUCCCCUUAUCUGGCUGAGUGGUCCCACCUACCGGGAAAUUUCCACAGGGAUUCAUAUGAAUUUAUCGCAACUGAACCAAGUCCUGUCAUCAUCUGCUGCAAAAGGGCUGAUCAGAUGCUCUAA